Camellia sinensis is the source of this 4594-nucleotide non-coding RNA. The record is from RefSeq and is a predicted model, not a curated record. NCBI's taxonomy places the organism in Eukaryota, Viridiplantae, Streptophyta, Magnoliopsida, Ericales, Theaceae.
CGUGCAAGGACAAGUAGUAGCUAAAUGAGAAAAUAAAAAAAUACAUACAUGUGACAGUUGAAUAUAGAAUUGACAAAUGUACUAUUGCACUCUUAACAGUUUAAAAUGGUAUCACUACUUUUAUAAUUUGAAACAAUUUGAAUAUAGAAGUGACAAAUGUACUAUUGCAAUUUUAAAAGUUUGAAAUGCUAUGUUGAUUAUUUUUGACACUUCGAAAGCUAGAAAUAUAAUCGUGUCAAUCAGGAUCUGAAAAGUCUUUACAGAUAAUAAAUGUCAAUUUUAUCAAGCGAUUGUGUUAAGAUUUUCUUGACAUCAAUGAGAAAGAUUUUAUUGUGUUGUGUUGAAAAAGAUGAAUCAAUAUUUUAACUCAAAUUCGUAACAGAAUGGGAGGGAGAGACUGAGCAGAAAUUGCAAUUGAUUAAUUGAAUAAACAAUUACAAAAUGUUACCUUUAAUAAGGACAAUUUCAAAACUUUAAACCAACCGAGUUUUGGGAUUACAAAGUUAAUCUACUCCUAUGAAAUGUAAGUGCAGUGCAUAAAAGGAAAGUACUGAAAUUUAAAAAUAAAUGAAAUUGAUAAAGACAUAGAGUCUGAAUUUAGUCGGGGAUUCCAAAUGUAACCAUGAAUGACUAUUUAUAGGAAAAAACUAAAAGAAAAAACUUCCUAAUAAUUACCAUAAUCUUCCAUCUUGAUUCUUGUAUUGACAUAUCUCCAUUUUAUGUGCCAUGAUGAUCUUUCAUCUCCUCCAUUUUAUACUUCAUGAUCUUCUAUUUCAUCUAUCAACUUCCCUACAUACACUUUAUAUUUCCACAACUUCCUUCAACCUCCAACUGUGUAAGAGCAUGCCAUGUGCCCUACUCAUAUUAAAAAAUAAAAAAUAAAAAUAAAUAUUAUUAUUCUUAUUAUUUAUGGUGCCAACAGUAUCACUUCUUUUGUAAUUUGAAAAAAAAUAAAUUUUUGUUUGGUCUAGGAGCGUCAUGUGGCGGUUUUCCUCACCAAUUACAAAUUAUCAUGUCCCUUCAUAUUCUCCAAUCACCUAAUACAAAAUCGUAAAUUGCACAUCUUUCACCAAUUACAAUAUUGUUGGGGCACCACAUGCCGGUAUCCAGGACUAAUCAAUAACUUCUCAUAAUUUGAAACACUUUGUCAUAGAGUGACACCUAUUUGCCCAAGAAAAAAGUAAUAAUGCUAUUGUACUUAAAAAUGUUGGAAUUUGACAAUAUUAUUUUAGGAUAAUUCUAUUUGCACCACAAACUCUUUCAGUACACACCAAUUACUCAUUGCAUACUACACCUAAUUUUGAUUUUCUAUUUUUCACUCAAUACACACCAUAAAUUUUCAAAUAUUUCCAAAAUAUCCCAAUCUUCUCUAAUCACAACCCUGAUUCUAACUCUAACCCUAACCUUAACCCUAGCUCCACCUCACAAUCACUGCCAUCAACCACCACCAUUGGUCCUCUCAUCUCCUUCUGCCAGCAUCACCCUUGGACCGACACCACCCAUUCCUUAGUUAUCUUCGAAAAAGAUAUAUAUUUAAUUUUUUUUUGUUUUUUAUAGGAAAUAAAUUAAUGUCCAUCCAGGGGACAAAUAGUAGCUAUGUGAGAAAAUAAAAGAAAUACAUACAUGUGACGUUUGAAUAUGAAAGUGACAAAUGUGCUAUUCCAAUCUUAAAAGUUUGAAACGGUAUCGUUACUUUUAUAAUUUGGAACACUUUGAAUAUGGAAGUGACAAAUGUACUAUUGCUGUAAUAACCCGACCCUCUCAUGUGCUCAAAUUCCAUCAUUAUAUGUAUGGCUAUAUGUGUGUUUAUAUGUUUGAUGUGAGAUUCCAUGUUUGAAUGAGUGAAUUAUUAGUUUAUAAAUUUAUAUUUGUCGGUUAUGAGAAAAUCUGUUGAAAUUGUGACUUUUGGACGGGAAAUUGGAAACCUUAUAGGCGCAGUAAACCGAAACUAACUUUACAGUUAUGAUUAGUAUGAUUUUUAGGGCAUUGUAUGAAGUUUUGUAAAAAUUUGAUUCGUAACAAAUUAAUUGGAAUUAUAUAGGCUCAAGUCUUAAUUAAACUUAAUUAGCCUCAAGACUCAAGUCUUGAUAGAUAUAAGGGUCACUUAUAUGAGCCUUAGAUGACUUAGUCUCAACAAAGCCCUGAAAAUAUCUCCUGGAAAGCUUCUAGAGGAGAGAAGAAGAGAAAAGAGAGAGAGAGAGGAAGAGGAGAUCAACCAAGAGUUGGAGAUUGAAGAUUUUGGAAGGGGAUUUAAGGAAUAAAGUUCAAGGUAUGUGUAAAGCACUUAAACUAUUCUAAAACUAUCUUCAAUUACUUAGCAUUAAGCCUUAAAAUGGAGUCUUUAUAUCUUGCUUGAGUAAAUAUCCAUGGAGAUCAUCAAGAUUCAUUGUAUUUGUUUGAUUUGAGAGUUGAUUCUUGCAUUUUGAGUUUGUCUUGAGUUAGCUUAAAAGGAAUCACUUUCUAAUCUUUAGUUCUUUCAUGCUUUGGACUCACAUAUGUAUAUAUGUUUGUAUAUAUAUUGAUGGACCAUGAAAAGAUGAACAAAAUGAAAGAAGUAUGGUGUAUUGAGUUGUAUAUGUCCCAAUAAAAUGGGUUAUGAUUUAAUUAAGUUUGGGAUUCAUGUUUAUUAGAUUCAUAUGUCAUGAUGUUUAAGUGCAUUUGCUUAUGUUAGACCAUAGAAAGGCAUUUGGAAAGUUUGAUUUUGAUGAAUGUUUGGACUGCUCAAACAAAGCCCAGAACCGCAUGCACGGGGCUCAUGGCCGCAUGUGCGGGGCUCACAGCCGCAAAUGCAGAAAACAACGGACGCAAGUGGAGCAUUCUGAAAUAAAAGCAAGUACCUCUCCGCACGUGCGGUGGGGGACUUCUGCAUGUGAGGCUAGUAGGGAAAUUUUCUAUCAACUUCUUUUACUUUUUUUAACCCUUUGAAUUUAUUAAUGUGUAUAUUUGAUCCUUCUGAAAUACUUAAAAAUGAAUUAGAAUUCAACGAAUCAGACAAAUGAGUAAAGAGAAAAGCCAAGGCAAAGUGACUUACUCACCAGUUGCGUGUUGUGUGUAGGUCACGUACAGGAAGGGACCGUUGUUCAACCACAUCACAGUGAUCAGCUCAGAGGACAACCUUAGGUCAGCUCGAGGAGCCUUUUGUUGGACCUGUUUUGUCGAGCCUCCCAAAGUGGAGCCUUUUGUUUUUACGAGGAUGGAUGAUUCAAAGGAUUCUACCUCCACACGGUUGGAUAGGUUGGAAAUGAUGAUUAUGCAAAUGGUAGAAACUAUGAGGCAACAAAAGCAGCAGCAACAACAACCACUGCUGCCACCAGUGCCUGUACCAUCACCAGUGGUGCAAGACCAUCAAGCCGAGGACCGAACAAUUACACUUACGAAAGACUUCAAGAUGAUGAAACUGCCUUUGUUUAAGGAUGGAAUUGAUCCAAUGAAAGCAGAGACGUGGGUGUUGGGCAUAGAGAAGUUUUUCAAGGUCUUUCCAUGCACCGAAGGCCAGAAAGUACAACUUGCCGCCUUCACUCUUGAAGAUGAAGCACGUAGAUGGUGGAUGCUCACGAGAAUUGAACAUCAAGGGUUGACAUGGGCUUGAUUUUUGGAGCUUUUUUAAGACAAGUAUUUCCUGCAGUGUAUGUGAGAUAAGAAAGUGACGGAGUUUGAAACUUUGAGACAAGGGAACAAGGCCGUUGCCAAGUAUGAAACCCGAUUUGCAGAAUUAGCCCGUUUCGCACCACAUUUGGUGGAUACGGACUACAAGAAAGCAAGAAAAUUUGAAGGAGGGCUACGGAAUGCCAUUCUCGACUGGUUUAAUGUUUUAAAAUUGCCGAUGUAUGUAGAUGUGUUGGAAAGAGCAAUCAUGGCUGAAGGUAAUAUCGUAACUCAAAAUUGGAUUUUCGAGUGGAAAGAGAAGAGGCAGAAUACUCAAGCACCAAGGGGAUCCAUGGCACCACCGAAUAAGAAACCGAAUUUGGGAACCUCUUGUACUUCUGCCUCUACAUGUGACUCAGCAGCAGUUUGUCUGGAAUGUGGAAAGAGACACCGUGGGACUUGUUACAGGGUAACUGGGGCAUGUUUCAAGUAUGGAAAGAUGGGUCACUUAGAAAGGGAUUGCCCAUAGAGAGACCGACAAAAUGGGAACAGAACUACUACCAGUUCAGCCGGCUCAACUCCAGCUCCGACCACAAAGACAGCUGUAAAACCCACCAAUACUAAAGGAUGCCAGAUAAGGAAGAGUGUUUUCCCUUAUUCCUGGUGACAUGCAAAAUACUGAGGCUGUGGUGUCAGGUCACGUACUGGAAGGGACCGUUGUUCAACCACAUCACAGUGAUCAGCUCGGAGGACAACCUUAGGUCAGCUCCAGGAGCCUUUUGUUGGACCUGUUUUGUCAAGCCUCCCAAAGUGGAGCCUUUUGUUUUUGUGGGGUUCCUAUUUAUGUUGUAUGUUUUUAAGUCGUUAAUGACUUGUUACAUAUACAUUGUCAACAUGUAAAUUUUGGGUUGCUACCUUUUUGUAUAGACUUACAUAACAUGGACUUGUUGGUAUAUGAACGGUGUUUGUAAAUUUUCUAUAUAUGGUAAGAUGUACUAAGAUCCUGGCA